This 75-nucleotide transfer RNA is filed under the name Pseudomonadota bacterium. RNAcentral's name for it is "tRNA-Asp". It matches the Rfam family "tRNA". Rfam says of the family: Transfer RNA (tRNA) molecules are approximately 80 nucleotides in length. Their secondary structure includes four short double-helical elements and three loops (D, anti-codon, and T loops). Further hydrogen bonds mediate the characteristic L-shaped molecular structure. tRNAs have two regions of fundamental functional importance: the anti-codon, which is responsible for specific mRNA codon recognition, and the 3' end, to which the tRNAs corresponding amino acid is attached (by aminoacyl-tRNA synthetases). tRNAs cope with the degeneracy of the genetic code in two manners: having more than one tRNA (with a specific anti-codon) for a particular amino acid; and 'wobble' base-pairing, i.e. permitting non-standard base-pairing at the 3rd anti-codon position. RNAcentral also lists the same sequence under 1 other name. The record is from RNAcentral. Lineage: Bacteria; Pseudomonadati; Pseudomonadota.
GGGGACGUGGUGUAGCCCGGAUAACACGCUGCCCUGUCACGGCAGAGAUCGUGGGUUCAAAUCCCAUCGUCCCCG